GGACUACUCGGGUUUCUAAUCCUGUUUGAUCCCCUUGCUCUCGCGCCUCAGCGUCAGGAAUAAGCUAGAAAACCGCCUUCGCCACCGGUGUUCCUCCACAUAUCUACGCAUUUCACCGCUACUCGUGGAAUUCCAUUUUCUCCGCCAAUCCUCAAGAUCCGCAGUUUCAAGUGCCGCUCCGACGUUAAGCAUCGGCAUUUCACACCUGACUUACAGAUCCGCCUACGCGCCCUUUACGCCCAGUAAUUCCGAUUAAUGCUUGCACCCUCCGUAUUACCGCGGCUGCUGGCAC
This 292-nucleotide ribosomal RNA is filed under the name uncultured bacterium. RNAcentral describes it as "partial 16S ribosomal RNA". The record is from RNAcentral.